This 395-nucleotide unclassified non-coding RNA is filed under the name soil metagenome. RNAcentral's name for it is "partial contains 5.8S ribosomal RNA, internal transcribed spacer 2, and large subunit ribosomal RNA". The stretch from base 1 to 122 matches the Rfam family "5.8S ribosomal RNA", at positions 35 to 154 of the family's 154-position model. The record is from RNAcentral.
GAUGAAGAACGCAGCGAAAUGCGAUACUUGGUGUGAAUUGCAGAAUCCCGUGAACCAUCGAGUCUUUGAACGCAAGUUGCGCCCGAAGCCAUCAGGUUGAGGGCACGUCUGCCUGGGCGUCACAUAUCGUUGCCCAAUGCCUAUUGCAGUGCAAUAGGAAUUUCUAGGGCGAAUGAUGGCUUCCCGUGAGCGUUGUUGCCUCGUGGUUGGUUGAAAAUCGAGUCCUUGGUAGGGUGUGCCAUGGUAGAUGGUGGUCGAGUUAGAACGAUACCGAUCAUGUGCAUGCUCCCCAAAAUAUGGCCUCUAUGACCCACACGCGUCUUUUGACGCUCAUGACGAGACCUCAGGUCAGGCGGGGCUACCCGCUGAAUUUAAGCAUAUCAAUAAGCGGAGGA